Molecule: ribosomal RNA, 253 nt
Filed under: uncultured bacterium
Lineage: Bacteria
Description: partial 16S ribosomal RNA
Rfam family: Bacterial small subunit ribosomal RNA
Source: RNAcentral
UACAGAGGGUGCAAGCGUUGUUCGGAAUUAUUGGGCGUAAAGAGCGCGUAGGCGGUCUGCUAAGUCUGGUGUGAAAGCCCUCGGCUUAACCGAGGAAGUGCAUUGGAUACUGGUAGGCUUGAGUAUGAGAGAGGAUUGUGGAAUUCCUGGUGUAGCGGUGAAAUGCGUAGAUAUCAGGAGGAACACCGGUGGCGAAGGCGGCAAUCUGGAUCAUAACUGACGCUGAGGCGCGAAAGCGUGGGUAGCAAACAGG